Molecule: ribosomal RNA, 241 nt
Filed under: uncultured Lactobacillus sp.
Lineage: Bacteria; Bacillati; Bacillota; Bacilli; Lactobacillales; Lactobacillaceae
Description: partial 16S ribosomal RNA
Rfam family: Bacterial small subunit ribosomal RNA
Source: RNAcentral
AACCGUGCCCCACUAGUCUGGGAUACCACUUGGAAACAGGUGCUAAUACCGGAUAAGAAAGCGGAUCGCAUGAUCAGCUUUAAAAGGCGGCGUAAGCUGUCGCUAUGGGAUGGCCCCGCGGUGCAUUAGCUAGUUGGUAAGGUAAAGGCUUACCAAGGCGAUGAUGCGUAGCCGAGUUGAGAGACUGAUCGGCCACAUUGGGACUGAGACACGGCCCAAACUCCUACGGGAGGCAGCAGCC